This 771-nucleotide ribosomal RNA is filed under the name Staphylococcus xylosus. Its description in RNAcentral is "bacterial SSU rRNA". It matches the Rfam family "Bacterial small subunit ribosomal RNA", at positions 59 to 812 of the family's 1533-position model. The record is from RNAcentral. Lineage: Bacteria; Bacillati; Bacillota; Bacilli; Caryophanales; Staphylococcaceae.
CAGUCGAGCGACAGAUAAGGAGCUUGCUCCUUUGAAGUUAGCGGCGGACGGGUGAGUAACACGUGGGUAACCUACCUAUAAGACUGGGAUAACUUCGGGAAACCGGAGCUAAUACCGGAUAACAUUUAGAACCGCAUGGUUCUAAAGUGAAAGAUGGUUUUGCUAUCACUUAUAGAUGGACCCGCGCCGUAUUAGCUAGUUGGUAAGGUAACGGCUUACCAAGGCGACGAUACGUAGCCGACCUGAGAGGGUGAUCGGCCACACUGGAACUGAGACACGGUCCAGACUCCUACGGGAGGCAGCAGUAGGGAAUCUUCCGCAAUGGGCGAAAGCCUGACGGAGCAACGCCGCGUGAGUGAUGAAGGGUUUCGGCUCGUAAAACUCUGUUAUUAGGGAAGAACAAAUGUGUAAGUAACUGUGCACAUCUUGACGGUACCUAAUCAGAAAGCCACGGCUAACUACGUGCCAGCAGCCGCGGUAAUACGUAGGUGGCAAGCGUUAUCCGGAAUUAUUGGGGCGUAAAGCGCGCGUAGGCGGUUUCUUAAGUCUGAUGUGAAAGCCCACGGCUCAACCGUGGAGGGUCAUUGGAAACUGGGAAACUUGAGUGCAGAAGAGGAAAGUGGAAUUCCAUGUGUAGCGGUGAAAUGCGCAGAGAUAUGGAGGAACACCAGUGGCGAAGCGACUUUCUGGUCUGUAACUGACGCUGAUGUGCGAAAGCGGUGGGGAUCAAACAGGAUUAGAUACCCUGGUAGUCCACGCCGUAAACGAUGA